GUGAGUGUGAGUGGGUGUGUGAGUGUGGGUGUGUGAGAGUGUGUGAUGUGUGAGUGUGCAUGGGUGUGUGUGUGAGUGUGGGUGUGCGAGAGUGUGCGAUGUGUGAGUGUGCGUGGGUGUGACAGGGUGAGUGUGAGUGUGGGUGUGUGAGAGUGUGUGAUGUGUGAGUGGGUGUGGGUGUGAGUGUGAGUGUGGGUGUGUGAGAGUGCGAGUGAAUGUGCAUGGGUGAGUGCGUGUGAGUGUGGGUGUGUGAGAGUGUGAUGUGUGAGUGUGAGUGUGCGAUGUGUGAGUGUGCGAUGUGUGAGUGUGGGUGUGUGAGUGUGGGUGUGUGAGAGUGUGUGAUGUGUGAGUGUGCGUGUGAGUGUGAGUGUGCGAUGUGUGAGUGGGUGUGACAGGGUGAGUGUGAGUGGGUGUGUGAGUGUGUGAUGUGUGAGUGGGUGUGACAGGGUGAGUGUGAGUGGGUGUGUGAGAGUGUGUGAUGUGUGAGUUGUGGAAGGGUGAGUGUGUGAGGGUGUGAAUGAGUGUGAGUGUGAGUCUCAGUGUGUGAUGGUGUGAGUGUGAGUGAGGGUGUGAGUGUGGGUGUGAGGGGGAGUGUAUGCGUGAGGGGGAGUUGAGUGUGAGUGUGGAAGGGUGAGUGUGCGAGGGUGUGAGUGUGAGUCUCAGUGAGUGAUGGUGUGAGUGUGAGCGUGGGUGUGAGAGUGUGUGUGAGGGGGAGUUCAGUGUGAGUGUGCAAGGGUGUGAGUGAGUGUGACUGUGUGUGUGAGUCUCAGUGAGUGAUGGUGUGUGUCAGUGUGAGUGUGUGUGAGUGUGAGUGUGUGUGUGUGAGGGUGUGAGUAUGGGGGUGUGAGUGUGUGUGUGUGCCUGAGGGUGUGAGUGUGUGUGUGUGUGUGAGUGUGAGUCUCAGUGUGUGAUGGUGUGAGUGUGUCAGUGUGUGUGAGUGUGUGAUGGUGUGAAUGUGUGUGAGUGUGAGUGUGUGACUGAGGGUGUAAAUUGUGUGUGACACUGCGAGUGUGUGUGUGUGAGUGUGUGUGAGUGUGAGAGUGUGCUGGUGUGAAUGUGUGUGUGUGUGUGAUGGUGAGUGUGAGUGUGUGCCUGAGGGUGUGAGUGUGUGUGUGUGUGUGUGAGUGUGAUUGAGAGUGUGAUGGUGUGAAUGUGUGUGUGUCAGUGUGAGUGUGGACUGAGGGUGUGUGUGUGUGAGUGUGACACUAAGAGUGUGUGAGUGUGUGUGUGUGAGUGUGACACUGCGAGUGUGCGAGUGUGUGUGUGUGUGAGUCACAGUGUGUGAUGGUGUGAGUGUGUCAGUGUGAGGGUGAGGGUGUGAGUGUGUGUGUGUGUGUCAGUGUGUGAGUGUGGGGGUGUCAGUGUGUGUGAGUGUGUGCCUGAGGGUGUGAGUGUGUGUGAGUGUGUGUGAGUCUCAGUGUGUGAUGGUGUGAAUGUGUGUGAGUGAGUGAGUGUGUGACUGAGGGUGUAAAUGUGUGUGUGUGACACUGCGAGUGUGUGAGUGUGAGUGUGUGUGUGUGUGUGUGUCAUGUGUGAGUGUGGGGGUGUCAGUGUGUGAGUGUGAGUGUGUGUGUGAGUGUGUGUGUCAGUGCGUGUGUGAUGGUGUGACUGUGUGUGUGUGUGAGUGUGUGCCUGAAGGUGUGAGUGUGUGUGUGUGUCUCAGUGUGUGAUGGUGUGAGUGUGUCAGUGUGUGUGAGUGAGUGUGUGUGUGUGAGUGUGACACUGCGAGUGUGUGAGUGUGAGUGUGAGUGUGGACUGAGGGUGUGUGUGUGAGUGUGACACUAAGAGUGUGUGAGUGUGUGUGUGUGUGUGUGACACUGUGUGAGUGUGAGUGUGUGUGUGAGUGUGGGGGUGUCAGUGUGAGUGUGUCACUGUGUGUGUGAGUGUGAGUGUCAGUGUGUGAUGGUGUGAGUGUGUCAGUGUGUGUGAGUGUGUGUGUGUGAGUGUGACACUGUGAGUGUGAGUGUGUGUGAGUGUCAGUGUGUGAUGGUGUGAGUGUGUCAGUGUGUGUGAGUGUGUGUGUGUGAGUGUGACACUGUGAGUGUGAGUGUGUGUGAGUGUCAGUGUGUGAUGGUGUGAGUGUGUGAGUGUGAGUGUGUGAGUGUGUCAUAUGUGAGUGUGAGUGUGAUGGUGUGUAUGUGUGUGAGUGUGAGUGUGUGUGUGAGUGUGACACUGCGAGUGUGUAUGUCAGUGUGAGUGUGUCACGUGUGAGCGUGUUGGUGUGAGUGUGAGUGGCGCUGUGACGCUGAGUGUGCCCCCGCGUCACGUGGUGUCGUGACCUCUGACCUUUCCCCCCUCCCCUCCCCGCGCUGUCUCCGUGGGGGGGGGCGGAGCUGGGAAAAAAGAGGGGCGUGGCUUCUCCUGGCCACGCCCCCGAUCGCACCGCUUUCCCCGUUGCCACGGCAACAGCCGGCCAGGUGGUGCGUGACGUCACGGCGGCGCCAGCCAAUCGGGGCUCUCCCCGGCGCUGUUGUUGGGGAGGGAUCGAGCGUGGGGCGGGGUCACGUGCGCGGGGUCACG
Molecule: long non-coding RNA, 2520 nt
Organism: Gallus gallus (chicken)
Lineage: Eukaryota; Metazoa; Chordata; Aves; Galliformes; Phasianidae
Source: Ensembl